Molecule: ribosomal RNA, 1391 nt
Filed under: Kocuria rosea
Lineage: Bacteria; Bacillati; Actinomycetota; Actinomycetes; Micrococcales; Micrococcaceae
Description: bacterial SSU rRNA
Rfam family: Bacterial small subunit ribosomal RNA
Source: RNAcentral
AUGCAGUCGAACGAUGAUGCCCACUUGCUGGGCGGAUUAGUGGCGAACGGGUGAGUAAUACGUGAGUAACCUGCCCUUGACUCUGGGAUAAGCCUGGGAAACUGGGUCUAAUACUGGAUACUACCUCUUACCGCAUGGUGGGUGGUGGAAAGGGUUUUACUGGUUUUGGAUGGGCUCACGGCCUAUCAGCUUGUUGGUGGGGUAAUGGCUCACCAAGGCGACGACGGGUAGCCGGCCUGAGAGGGUGACCGGCCACACUGGGACUGAGACACGGCCCAGACUCCUACGGGAGGCAGCAGUGGGGAAUAUUGCACAAUGGGCGGAAGCCUGAUGCAGCGACGCCGCGUGAGGGAUGACGGCCUUCGGGUUGUAAACCUCUUUCAGUAGGGAAGAAGCGAGAGUGACGGUACCUGCAGAAGAAGCGCCGGCUAACUACGUGCCAGCAGCCGCGGUAAUACGUAGGGCGCAAGCGUUGUCCGGAAUUAUUGGGCGUAAAGAGCUCGUAGGCGGUUUGUCGCGUCUGCUGUGAAAGCCCGGGGCUCAACCCCGGGUCUGCAGUGGGUACGGGCAGACUAGAGUGCAGUAGGGGAGACUGGAAUUCCUGGUGUAGCGGUGAAAUGCGCAGAUAUCAGGAGGAACACCGAUGGCGAAGGCAGGUCUCUGGGCUGUUACUGACGCUGAGGAGCGAAAGCAUGGGGAGCGAACAGGAUUAGAUACCCUGGUAGUCCAUGCCGUAAACGUUGGGCACUAGGUGUGGGGGACAUUCCACGUUUUCCGCGCCGUAGCUAACGCAUUAAGUGCCCCGCCUGGGGAGUACGGCCGCAAGGCUAAAACUCAAAGGAAUUGACGGGGGCCCGCACAAGCGGCGGAGCAUGCGGAUUAAUUCGAUGCAACGCGAAGAACCUUACCAAGGCUUGACAUUCACCGGACCGCCCCAGAGAUGGGGUUUCCCUUCGGGGCUGGUGGACAGGUGGUGCAUGGUUGUCGUCAGCUCGUGUCGUGAGAUGUUGGGUUAAGUCCCGCAACGAGCGCAACCCUCGUUCUAUGUUGCCAGCACGUGAUGGUGGGGACUCAUAGGAGACUGCCGGGGUCAACUCGGAGGAAGGUGGGGAUGACGUCAAAUCAUCAUGCCCCUUAUGUCUUGGGCUUCACGCAUGCUACAAUGGCCGGUACAAAGGGUUGCGAUACUGUGAGGUGGAGCUAAUCCCAAAAAGCCGGUCUCAGUUCGGAUUGAGGUCUGCAACUCGACCUCAUGAAGUCGGAGUCGCUAGUAAUCGCAGAUCAGCAACGCUGCGGUGAAUACGUUCCCGGGCCUUGUACACACCGCCCGUCAAGUCACGAAAGUUGGUAACACCCGAAGCCGGUGGCCUAACCCCUUUGGGGAGGGAGCC